RNAcentral lists this ribosomal RNA (301 nucleotides) under uncultured bacterium. Its description in RNAcentral is "partial 16S ribosomal RNA". It matches the Rfam family "Bacterial small subunit ribosomal RNA", at positions 509 to 809 of the family's 1533-position model. The record is from RNAcentral.
CAGUCGCCACGGUAAUACGUAGGUGGCGAGCGUUGUCCGGAAUCAUUGGGCGUAAAGGGAGCGCAGGCGGGCAUGUAAGUCUUUCUUAAAAGUUCGGGGCUCAACCCCGUGAUGGGAAAGAAACUACAUGUCUUGAGUACAGGAGAGGAAAGCGAAAUUCCCAGUGGAGCGGUGAAAUGCGUAGAUAUUGGGAGGAACACCAGUGGCGAAGGCGGCUUUCUGGACUGCAACUGACGCUGAGGCUCGAAAGCCAGGGGAGCGAACGGGAUUAGAUACCCCCGUAGUCCCUGUCUCUUAUACA